RNAcentral lists this ribosomal RNA (220 nucleotides) under uncultured bacterium. RNAcentral's name for it is "partial 16S ribosomal RNA". It matches the Rfam family "Bacterial small subunit ribosomal RNA", at positions 28 to 249 of the family's 1533-position model. The record is from RNAcentral.
GACGAACGCUGGCGGCGUGCUUAACACAUGCAAGUCGAGCGGUAAGGCCCUUUCGGGGGUACACGAGCGGCGAACGGGUGAGUAACACGUGGGUGACCUGCCCUCAGCUCUGGGAUAAGCCUGGGAAACCGGGUCUAAUACUGGAUAUGACUCCAUGACGCAUGUUGUGGGGUGGAAAGCCUUGUGCGGCUGAGGAUGGGCCCGCGGCCUAUCAGCUUGU